Long non-coding RNA from Canis lupus familiaris (dog), 924 nucleotides. RefSeq lists it as uncharacterized. The record is from RefSeq and is a predicted model, not a curated record. NCBI's taxonomy places the organism in Eukaryota, Metazoa, Chordata, Mammalia, Carnivora, Canidae. The transcript has 3 exons.
GAUGAAUACCCACCAUUUGCUUCAAGGUGGUUGGAACUGGAGGGUAUGAUACUGAGUGAACCUAUGCCAUCUGAAAAUUUCUGUAUUGAAGGCUUUCCCAUCAAGUGGAAGCAGAUUCAGUAAUUUCAACUUCACCUGCAGAUGCUGGAUCCUCCUCUAUUCAAAGUACUAUGAUACCUGUUGUAAACUGAGAGAAGCAAUCAAUAGCUAAGAGUGAGGGCACAGCCCUGUGCUGAAAAUCUGACCAGCAAUUUUUACCUGCAAAUCUGCAAUCUCCUGAAAUAAUAUUUGUUCAAAUAGCAUCAUUCUAUUCUAGAUAAAAAUACUCCAGCUUCCUCGCAAGAAAUAGUGUUAUUGCAAGCUUGAACUAUUGAAAAAGUAAUAUUGCCUCCAAGGGGGUACGCCAUCUUAAUAAGACAUAUCUUCAAGACAACGAAAAAUGUACUUUCCAAAUCCUACAUGCGUUAUAAACCACCACUUACGAAACCUUUGUUCUAAAGUGUUGCCAAUUUUACCUGAGGCAGGCAUUUUACUGCAUUUAAAAGGUCUCCAAGGAUGUUGGGGAAUCUUAGGUGAACCUGCAGGCCUGGUGGAUAUAAUGAAAACUAAACUUUUUGUUUUGUGAAGUUUUCUCAAGGCUUUUCUCCUGGGUAUUGAAAUGUAACUUCCAUUUUGCUAGUCUAACUUCACCAUGUAGUGCGAGCAGAAAUUAUAGGAAAAGAAAUAGCUGGUGAAUAUAAUAAACAAAAAAAUAGAGCUCUCUCCCCACCUGCUGUUCUAUGGAAGGACCUGAUGGUAGAAAUUUUGUUAAUCUAAUUAAAAAUAGAUGCCAGCGGUCCAUAAACAUGAGACCAGUAUUAUUUUUGGAAUCUUUUACUUUUGUGACAUACUGGCUGGUUAGCUCUAGAAAAAGAUUUUGGGGCA